UGUCUCUUGACACCUCCAUAAGAGAUAAAUACUGCCCAGUGGCCUUCUUCUAUAAACGGCCGCGGUACAUUGACCGUGCUAAGGUAGCAUAAUAAUUUGCCCUAUAAUUCAGGGAUUGAAUGAAUGAGUUAACACAAAAUAUACUGUCUCUAUUUUAAACCAAAAAAUUAAUAUCCUAGUGAAAAAGCUUGGAUUACAUAAAAAGACAAGAAGACCCUAAAAGCUUAAUAACCACACUUGUAAAUCAAAAACCGUUUUUUAGUUGGGAGGACUUCAAAUAAAUUAAACAUUUUAGUAAAAUAAAGAAAAUUCAACAAUAUCAACCCAAAAUUGAAUAUAAGUAAGCUACUUUAGGGAUAACAGGCUAAUAUUCUUUAAGAGUACACAUUGACAAGAAUGUUUGGCACCUCGAUGUUGGCUUAGGAGCCCAUUUUUAUGCAGAAAUAAAAAUCGGGGGUUUGUUCAACCCUUUAAAUCCUACAUGA
RNAcentral lists this ribosomal RNA (485 nucleotides) under Trypanosyllis depressa. RNAcentral's name for it is "partial 16S ribosomal RNA". It matches the Rfam family "Bacterial large subunit ribosomal RNA", at positions 1817 to 2603 of the family's 2925-position model. Lineage: Eukaryota; Metazoa; Annelida; Polychaeta; Phyllodocida; Syllidae. The record is from RNAcentral.